UUGAGGCUUGGUUUUCUUAUGUGUAAAAUGUAAUAACAUUUCUUAUGUUUAAAACACUUUACACAAGAAAACCAAGGCUCAA
MicroRNA precursor from Homo sapiens (human), 82 nucleotides. The record is from Ensembl. NCBI's taxonomy places the organism in Eukaryota, Metazoa, Chordata, Mammalia, Primates, Hominidae.